AUUGAACGCUGGCGGAAUGCUUUACACAUGCAAGUCGAACGGCAGCACGGACUUCGGUCUGGUGGCGAGUGGCGAACGGGUGAGUAAUGUAUCGGAACGUGCCCAGUCGUGGGGGAUAACGUAGUGAAAAUUACGCUAAUACCGCAUACGAUCUAUGGAUGAAAGCGGGGGAUCGCAAGACCUCGCGCGAUUGGAGCGGCCGAUAUCAGAUGAGGUAGUUGGUGGGGUAAAGGCCCACCAAGCCAACGAUCUGUAGCUGGUCUGAGAGGACGCCCAGCCACACUGGAACUGAGACACGGUCCAGACUCCUACGGGAGGCAGCAGUGGGGAAUUUUGGACAAUGGGCGAAAGCCUGAUCCAGCCAUUCCGCGUGCAGGAUGAAGGCCCUCGGGUUGUAAACUGCUUUUGUACAGAACGAAAAGGUUUCUACUAAUACUAGGAGCUCAUGACGGUACUGUAAGAAAAAGCACCGGCUAACUACGUGCCAGCCGCCGCCGUAA
This 500-nucleotide ribosomal RNA is filed under the name uncultured bacterium. RNAcentral's name for it is "partial 16S ribosomal RNA". It matches the Rfam family "Bacterial small subunit ribosomal RNA", at positions 30 to 523 of the family's 1533-position model. The record is from RNAcentral.